Molecule: non-coding RNA, 248 nt
Filed under: Romboutsia ilealis
Lineage: Bacteria; Bacillati; Bacillota; Clostridia; Peptostreptococcales; Peptostreptococcaceae
Description: T-box
Rfam family: T-box leader
About the family: Uncharged tRNA acts as the effector for transcription antitermination of genes in the T-box leader family.
Source: RNAcentral
CUAAAAACUGUGAAUGGAAGAGUAAAUAUAGAAUGUAGUCAAAGCGAGCUGGAGAUGGUGAGAGUCCAGUAUGAAGUCUAUGUUGAAGAACAUCCAGGAGUUGCUAACCGAAAUUUAAAUUUAGUAGGCUUAGCCGGUAUCAAUCCGUUACCAAAUUGAACUGUAUCGAAUAAUCUGUACAGAUGAGAGAACUUAAAUUUUAAGUUAAUCAGGGUGGCACCGCGGAAGUAUAACCUUUCGUCCCUAUA